CCUUUACCCCCCUCCAUUUUCACAUCAACAAUAGAGAGGAGUGAUGUUAAAGGGUUCAUUUAGAAUCCUACUCUCACAAUGGGACAGUUCUAAAAAUAGUUUUGUUCUAUUUUAAAGACAUAAGAAAAGAGAUGGAAGAGGGAGAGGAUACAUAAGGAAAAAUGAACAAAAAAAGAGAGGAGAACUUGUUAAGGUGCAUUUUCAGAAUGUGCAAGUAGACCUAUAUGCAAAUAUGAAAGGGGUGAAGAGAGUGGGUACCACGUGAUUUGAUAUUCAUCCUAAUUGAUCAGAAGAGACCAGAACACAUACACAAACAGGGACAUACAACAGAAGGGUGAAGCUGAAAUAUAUUCAACUCAAUAGAGAUAUGUAGUCAGGAACAAGAAGAGGAUAAGGUGGAAUGUAAGAGGGAAGUAGGAAACAGCUGGAUUAUCAUCUCUGCUUUGGCAUUCAAUCUGUUGAGCUAUGUUGCUUUGAUUAAAGUUUAUGAAGAAAAUCUGGCCUCAUACAGAGAUGAAGUUGGGAAAGAGAAGAGGAUUUUAAAAGACCAUUUCUUCCUCCAUAGUCCAUGAAGAAGGCUACUCAUUACCAUGUAAUUAAACAGUCUAGAACAAAUUACAGACCGUCUGUGUAAGUUCCAAAAUCCAUCUGGGGAUUGCACCAGUUGAGCACUAAACACAUGCUCAUAAGGAUAGAGAGCAUUAGCUAGUUCUCCAUUUCAAUAACAUUGUAGACUUUUCUAAAGAAUUGAAGUCAAGUUUCCUGGUUUCUCCUUUGAAAAUGCCAUUCUUGUCUCCUUUCCCUCUUUUUGUUUUAAUUGGGACAACAUGUGUUCCUCUUCCAGUCUUUCAAAUGUCAAUGAGUUAGUAAUUCUAUGAAUCAGUUCUUUGAGUGCCUGGUGAUGCAGUUAUUUGGACCAGGAACUGGUGAAUUCUAUUGAUACACACACCUCAUUUUUUAUGUCUUUUAUUCUGGUUGCAUCUGAUCCUUAUGGGCUUCAUUAAACAGCUGGUGUCCAAAUAGGUUUCAUUCAUUGUAAAGAUGCUACUCUAAAUGCAUGAGGAGACAAGCUUCACAUAAUGUACUCUCUACAUAUUUUUAAAAAUGCUGGUUAAUAAGAGAAAAAAAAAAGAAAAUGCCUAGAGUUGGGAAAUGGAAUUUCUAGUUCAUAGAACAAUUCAUAGAAUUCCAGGAAGGUAAGUGUUAUUGAAUUGCAGAAUAUAGGGGUGGUUAAGGUGUAAGAAGACUGGAAAAAUCAGGCAGAAGUCAGGUCAUGAAGAACUUUGAGUGUCAGAAUAUUUUAUCCUGAAUCCUGAAGGUGAUAGGGAGCCCCUGGGGUUUACUGAAUAGAGAGGAGAGACAAGGUUGGACACAGACUGUAG
Molecule: long non-coding RNA, 1382 nt
Filed under: Monodelphis domestica (gray short-tailed opossum)
Lineage: Eukaryota; Metazoa; Chordata; Mammalia; Didelphimorphia; Didelphidae
Description: lncRNA (ENSMODG00000032953.2)
Source: RNAcentral